Ornithodoros turicata is the source of this 7026-nucleotide long non-coding RNA. RefSeq lists it as uncharacterized. NCBI's taxonomy places the organism in Eukaryota, Metazoa, Arthropoda, Arachnida, Ixodida, Argasidae. The record is from RefSeq and is a predicted model, not a curated record. The transcript is spliced from 3 exons.
CUUUUGCGCAGCAUCCCGUUAUCGCGUCACGUGGCGUCCGCUACGUCCAAUGGUGUACGCGCACUCUUUCGCCGAAUUCGGUGUGAGGUGCUCGCGUCCUCACGUGAGGGAAGGUAGCGUUGCUGCCACGUCCGAUAUUUCGAAAUGAAUUGCGUUCGUAAGGCGUUUUCUAGCAUAACAUGGCACGAGCAGCGACGCCCUCUUCAAGGGACACUACUUCCGCAGGUACCACGCAGUAGCGUUGGGAGGCGGGGGAUUUUCUAUGGGAAGAAGGAUUUCACCCCAGUUUUCCCUCUCGCAAAUGCACUACCACAGUCCAGGAAAAGGAACAGCCUGCUCGACGAACAAGAAAUGAACUAUCCAGAGGACAGGGCAUGCGCUAUAUGCAAGUAAUCCAGCUGUCUGCGCAGCUUCCCUGUUGCCCUCUCUCCCAUGUUUCCCGUGGAGCGACCUCAUUGGUUUCUCUCCCAAAUAAAGCGGGCAACAUUUCAAGACAGAGCGUGACAGACCAGAGCGAUGGCUGACGGGACUGAGGUAAGGGCCACGUACGUCCACUGCCACUCGACGACUGCUAUCCUUCGCAGGAUUGGGGACUGCAGCGUGUCGUGACGUCAAUGAAGUGCCCGCGGGCCCACUUUUCUCUCUCUGACGCAAGUAUGCGGAUCGCCACAUCGAUAAACCCAACGCAGCUGUCUGUCUCCCAGUACUUACGGCAGAUGCCGACUCUGUCCUGCGCGCGAUACUACCUUGUGAUGUAGAGUCAUGGUAGAGUACUAGAAUAGUAGUAUACAAGAACCAACAUGUUGCCUUUGGACGGGGUUGCCCAGAAUGGGGAAAGCUAUACCACGCUAUACUUUUGCUUUUGCGCUAUGUGAUUCAUGCUGUUAUGCUGUUCUGGAGGAGAUUGAAUACUGCCCCAAAUAAACAAAUCCCUUUGAAAGUGUGACUCAUCCCGAAACGACAACGCAGCAGGAUGAAUCACAUCGCGGCGGUUGCUCUCUGUACACACUUGUUUCCCAUAGGUGAGCAAGAGCCGUUUGGAACAGCUGUAGCAGUGGAAUUAAGUAUUUCAAAUGCAACAAGGAAGGCCAAAGGGCUCCAAACGUUUGCGGGAAUGGUACAGAAAUCAUUCGUCGACGGCUACGCCGCAUCUUCGAAUGCUACCGCUUUAAAGUAUCGCUUUCCUUGUGACACCUUGUGUCUGCAUGUUGUGACACGGAGGAACCAACAAUUCCAUCACAAGGGCAUCAAAUACAUGCCUUGAUCCCCUUGAUCUCAGGAUGUGCGAAACCUCCUCACUCCCCUUCCCGGCCCUUUCAUGCUUAUCGGGUAGAGGAUCUUACAUUCUCUCUGCCAAGGCAGAUUGUUUGGAGGAUUUGCACGUUCGCUCUAAGUAAGAAAAAUUGCUGUCUUCGCAUGACUGCAUUCACCGGUGGUGGUGGUGGUGAAAACUGCUCGCCGUGGUUGGCCACGCUCCGCAUUCACCGGCAUCGCGCUGACACUCACAUAUGAGACAGACUGGCCAUUGCCUAAUGAACGGAUUGAUGUAUGGUGAAGCUGUUUCAGUAUACGUAUUUCAAGUCACCCAUCCUGCACCGCUUGUCCAAGACCCUUGGCCCAUGCAUCUCCAUGCACUGCGCCAUCAGCUCUCGCUUUGCUUUCCUUCGAGCUUCACGAACUCUAAACCACCGACCUGUCAUCGUUUUGAGCUCUCCUCUAUUUCACAUCCUCUCAAGCAUCCCAUGUCAUCAUUACUAUUGAUUGUUGCACUGCAUUGUUACUUAACACUUAGCCGAUUUUCUCUUUAUACACAAAGUUGUUGCGCCACUCAGCUCCAUAUAUUUCUCUUCAAUAUGCCCGUCGAGUAUAAUGAAUUUGAGUAAAUUCGGAACGCUCUUCACCUUGGUGGUGUAAAAAAGUGACUUUUACUCGGUAAAUUUCCGAGUUCAGUUCGCAAAAAUUUACACAAUAAAACUUACGUUACAUGACAUUCACAUCAGGAAGUGGCAAAAACAUAUAGUAAGAACAAAUGCCGUUGACCCCAUGAUUGUAGGUGACGUAGUUUUUUUCUUAUUAUAAUUCAAUGACACGUUUUCUGGGACACUCUGUAUAUAUUCUGUGGCUCGAGGGCCCUUGGCCACCAAACAGAGGAAGGAAAGCUGCCCAGUCAGAAAAAUAAGAAUUAGAAAUCAAGCCAGAUUUUUAGGCAUUGUUUUCACCCUGCUCGGCGUAGUGCAUGCUACCCCUGUCCAUGUUAGAGUCACUAAAUAGGGGUACAGAGUAUCGCGUUCCUUUUCCGCGCCGGUGCCUCCGUCCGAUGUCCGCGAUUGGGCCGAUUGUGUCACGUGAUUUCUCCUUCCAAGAAGGCGCCGUCCAUGUUGAGUCCCCUCCACCCAAAACCGGUUUCCUCGGUUGCGAGCUGGCUCAAGAGCGCGCAGUUCUCCGGUGGAGAAGGGGGAGAUUGGUGUCCCAUUGCUAGGCGACGCAGCCGCGCCGGACACAAGAUGGCGGGCUCGCUCGCUGGCGUGGCUCAGUGUCGCUACUCUGCUUCCUAUUUAGUGACUCUAGUCCAUGUUAGGCAGCACAUACGCAUAUGCAUGAGCACUUCUUGUGGCUCACGAACCUCAACGAGUUAUCGUCACAGCAACCUGGUCUUCGCGUGCACUUCGGUAAACUAACACUGUAACUAAUGUGAGCAAUGGCUCAACUUAAUUUUUACAAGCUUGUAUUUACAAGCUUAAGUUUACAAGCUUAUAUAUAGAAGAAGCAGCCUCUCCCGAAUAUCAACCGCGGAAAUUAGAAAGGAGUACAAAAAGGCAGAGAGAGAGAGAGAGAGAGAAAAGAGAGACGAAACAGUUGUGUACAAGGCCCAUUGUAUUUAAUUCUUGAAUUCUUGCUGUUCCUCUCUCAUUUUUCUAUCUAUUUUUCCAAGUUGAAACUGUAUGCAAAGGCAACACAAAUAAGAUACAAUUUUAGUGCUCCUGAGGUUUGUGAAGAACUAUAUGUACGUAUUUUUCGCAGGGAAGGAUAACGGAGGUAUUUUCGUUACCGUUUCCAUUUUCGUUACCGCUAUAUUUUCGUUUCCGUUAUCCGUUUCUGAUACCAGCAUUUAAUUUCGUUUCCGUUACGUUUCCGUUACUGUUUCCGGUAAUGGAACGGCUGUUACAGAGCUGCGUGAGGACAGCCAGUCCGGCUCUGUCAGCACCCUGUUUUGCCCAAGUGCUGCUUCGCUGUCCCGCGUACACACUACACAAGUAAUUUUACGUCGUUGGGAUGCGCACAUCUUGCAAAAUUUUCAAAGAAGUAUAGGAACAUGUCUUCAGCCAUACUGCUGUCUUCAGUCACUCUGAGUCCAGCAACCCAAGAUGGGCGUAACUUUCAUCCAAUGUCACAUCAUAGGCGGACGCUCUCAGAUGUAAACAAUACUGCCAUAGCCACGGUGAAAUGAAGAAAGUAAAAAAUAAAAAUAAAAAAGCAUAUGCUGUCAUCGCUGUGCUAUAGUGGAGUAGAGUGUGUGGAGUCUAUGUUGUGUAGGUCUCGUGUCUUGAUGUCAUGUAGGUAGGUAAUGUCACGAGUAGGUAAGCGGGUGAUGCACCUUCGGUAUCCAAUAUUGCGCUGUUUCCAUGCUGUCGUGUAGUAUUUAGAGAAUUACAGGGAAUGGAAUCAUCAAAAUACAAAAAUAAAAUGAAAAGUCACUCAAAUGUCAUCGCACAACAGUAAUAGCCAUUACCGGAAUUCAAUACCGGACGAUAAUUUUUGUUUCCGUUUCUGUUUCCGGUAAUGGAGGACAAAGGUACGCGUUUCCGUUUCCGUUACCAUCUCCAAUUUCGGUAAUAUACCGUUUCUGUUUCCGUUACCAUUACCGAUACCCUUCCCUGAUUUUUCACAUUGUACGUUUCAUGUUUUCGGUACCCGAUUUGGAAGGACAUUGAUCUUGCGUGUCAAUGAAUUGUGCCGUUUGGCUCCACAAUGACUCCCUAUUUUAUCGUACACAUUUUAUUGUAUGGUGUUUUAAAGGCAUUUUAGGGUUAGUACGGUUAUUCUUUUUCUCAAAUUUCGUUUCUUCGUUCCCUCCAUGAUUUGAUCAAAUGUCACAGCGACCCGGGACUCGAUUUGAGUUUGAGGACCUCGGAGAAGUAUACUUAUACUGAGUAGCGGAUGGAGCAGAAGCGUGACGCAAAGCGGGGCUCUGAAGUAGCCAGGCCUGAACAUUUCAUGCCAAACUAGACAGAAAGUUGCCCAAGGGUCCAUGAAGAAAUUCCCAAAAAUAUCGAGUUCUCAGUGGAGAACGGCUCGCAAGGAGGCCUGUUAUCUGAAAUAUAUCCUAUUUUUGCCAUAUUGCAUUCAACGCGGGCGCAGUUCACGCACAAAGAAAGCGUUCAGCGUUCGCCUGACAUACCCUCUGCAAGCGGACUGACGUCACUUACAUCCUUUGCUCACUCCAAGUCCAAGGUUGCACAGAGCUAUCCCGUUAGUGGCCAAGGUCGCCUGCUUUUGACGUCACAGCCAGUUUCUCCAUCAUGCCGGCAGCGAUGGCGUCGAAGCAGUGCUUUUUUAUUGUUGCCGUGGUUUUUAGUUAAUAUCUCCGUUAUUCCAACCAAUAUUGGAUUCAUACUCCACAUGAUGAAGGCAUUAGCGGCUAUGAAUGCAUUACAUAUGCUUGCAGAGGUUUUUGGGAUCUCUUCAUAGUUCCUGUAACGACGCCGUGAGAAGACAACAAUCACAACAUAUACAUCGAUAAUAUUGUGCAUGAGAGACAGCUUGAUGAACGAAACAGAGUUUCGAGCAAUGCUGAUUGGUAACUGUCACUUCUUUAGCGUAGAAGGUAGCAGCACACAUACGUCCAGAAACCACUGUCGUCUGCUUACCUGUCACGUUCCAUAAAAAAAAAAAAAAAAAAGCGCCCGUUUGCGUCGCACUCUCGACCUCUUCGAGGCGCUAGCGGUAAAACAGCAAAGUAAGAAGUAAGACAUAGUAAGUAAAGUGUAGGUUGUCGGUUGUUGUACAUUGGAAAUGAAGGGCAUAAGCAAACGAGACAACAAGUUGAGCGCGAAUCGCUUUGUCUUGUGCGCCAAUACGCUCUUCAUUUCCAAUGUCACUUUGUCGCUCCUUUGAGUGCCUUUUUUUUUUUUUUUUCAGCUUCUUUUUGUUUCUCUGGAAGUUUUCCGUGCUCAGUACCAUUCGGGAAAUUCGAUGUUUUUCAACACGAUAGCAUGUGCAAAUAUGCAUAUAGGGUGAUCCAAGUAUAUGUGUAUAACCAACUGAAUCCCGACCACGUCACAACGCGCUCGCGUAAUCGCGGCGCGCGACACUUGCGCGUGAGUUGAGUUGUGAAAUAAUAAUGGUACUGUGACGUUACACGUAAGGUUUGUCUGCGCAGUGUGGCGACAUGCUGCACGUGCCGCAGGGUAGGACUGCGGAUAAUUUGGACCACCUGGGGUUCUUUUGACGUGCGCCGGAAAUCUCUGACACACACGGCGCUGGAAGCAAUGUUUACCUCCCUAACAUUGCUACCGUCCUUGUUGCGUGAGUUGUCACGUGACACUUAUUUUGUAGAACAGACAACAUUUCCUUGCGUCCGAGAAAGGUAACAAAUAAGGACGGAGACACGUACGAAGUUGACACGGAGACUCACACUCUUAUGUACUUUGCAGGCAGUUGCUUUUCAAGCCGGAAACGAAAGUCACACAAAGCACACCUCAUUGGAGACACACAUCGGUCAGGUUCUACCGUUCUACAACUUUAGAAUUGACACCUGGGAUUACUACGAUUAAAUUUCGUGUUUUCAGAAUCCCACCAAAGUUAUGUUACUGAGAUCUUCUUGUCUCACUUUACAUUCCUGCAAAAUAUUUUGGCUCUACGUAACGCGAAAGCUAGAGAAAAUUAAUUUUUAUUUUUGAGAAUGUGACGUCAUGUUAGGCUCCGACGGAGCGCCCGGUUCUCAUCUGGCAACGUUGUUGCACUUGGCGUCUUCCGGGGGGCUCACUUUUUGCACUCCGUUAGCGGAGCACCACGUGACAUAUCAUGCGAACGCUCCGACCUUCGAGGAAAACAAAGGAGGGACAAGACAUCUCUCCCAUUUUCCCCUGUUUCGAUCAGUGUCACGUGACUUCUCCACCACGUGACCCUCCCCGGACGCCGGCGUCGUUGCUAGGAGACGAGCGCCCUCUCCAGAGCAUGACAUCAUUGCAAUUUGAGGGCUUAUGAUUACGUCACCCACUCCUCGCGUCAUCGAAACUUGUGGAGGCUCAGCAGAUCUUCAAAAAUUGACAGAAAUGCACAGCGUUCGUAAACAGGAUUGAAAUUUCGCGUAUCGAAUCCUUGAGGCGCCUUCUUUUCGUGGACUAAAUAAAAUAAACGCUGUUUUCCGAGUUCGGAGUGGCACUUUAAUCCAACAUUUUAUAAGUCAGCUAUUUAGUAUUACCUAAUUAAUUAAUUAACUGGGCAAACUGAAAAAAAUACUAACGACUAAUUACGCAACCCAGUUGUUUAAUUUUUGUUACAUAUUAGCUAAACAGGGUGCCCGAGAUAACGUGUCAUUGCAUGAAUUAUAAUGAAAAAAAAACUACAUCACCUAGAAGCUGGGUUUCCGACCUGUCGGACUGACAACGAUUGCGCUCAAAAAGUCAUCUCGCGCUAUGCUCCAGGUGCUCCGAGCAGUGGCGUAGCCACGGGGGGCUAAGGGGGGGCUCGAGCCCCCCCUACCUGCCACGGACCGACUCACGCGAAUCGUGCAAGUCCGAAGAGAACGUAAUAUAAGGGGGUGGGGGGCAGUCUGACGAUCACGAAAGUUCUUGCAGAUCAUGGCGUCUAUCUAAGCAGCACUCUUGAAUGGUUUUCAAUGUAUGAGCUUUUCAAAAUGCUUCCAAUUUCGUGACACCAUCUCCUUGGUCAUGGCAGCCUAUACAUGUAAUCGUAUUGUGAAUGUCCAAAUCAACUUUUCUUUUUUCAUCCGCACUUUGCAGUGUGCACAGAUAUGUGUCUGUUCUCGCUCACAGAGUCAGCGGGGGGGGGGGGGGGGCGAGC